Long non-coding RNA from Culex quinquefasciatus (southern house mosquito), 284 nucleotides. RefSeq lists it as uncharacterized. NCBI's taxonomy places the organism in Eukaryota, Metazoa, Arthropoda, Insecta, Diptera, Culicidae. The record is from RefSeq and is a predicted model, not a curated record. The transcript is spliced from 3 exons.
UAGUGACCUGUGCCAAUUUUUGCGUUUAUCCCCGUUCAUUUGUGUCCAUUUAAGUAAAAAUAACGAUCUGUACACCUUAACGAGCUUAAUGAUACAAUUACGGGAGGCAGUGCAAACCAAAAGUGACAAAUUAUCGCCCGAUCGACGAAACCUGACUAAGUUGGUCAAGCCCUAGCCCUGAUGAAGAUGCCCCCCAAUAGCAUCGAAACGUUGGCAUUGGUAUAAAACGGACCAACCGCAUAUUAAUUGACUGAUCAGCCGAAACAAAAAACCCCAAAAUUCAU